Molecule: ribosomal RNA, 253 nt
Filed under: uncultured bacterium
Lineage: Bacteria
Description: partial 16S ribosomal RNA
Rfam family: Bacterial small subunit ribosomal RNA
Source: RNAcentral
UACGAAGGGGGCUAGCGUUGUUCGGAAUUACUGGGCGUAAAGCGCACGUAGGCGGAUAUUUACGUCAGGGGUGAAAUCCCAGAGCUCAACUCUGGAACUGCCUUUGAUACUGGGUAUCUCGAGUAUGGAAGAGGUGAGUGGAAUUCCGAGUGUAGAGGUGAAAUUCGUAGAUAUUCGGAGGAACACCAGUGGCGAAGGCGGCUCACUGGUCCAUUACUGACGCUGAGGUGCGAAAGCGUGGGGAGCAAACAGG